This is a non-coding RNA of Triticum aestivum (bread wheat), 121 nucleotides long. The record is from Rfam. Lineage: Eukaryota; Viridiplantae; Streptophyta; Magnoliopsida; Poales; Poaceae.
CAUAUACUCCCUCCGUCCGAAAAUACUUGUCCUAGAAACGGAUAAAAUGGUAUCUAUAACUAAAAUAGGUCUAGAUACAACAAUUUCUAGGACAAGUAUUUCCGGACGGAGGGAGUAUGUC